Carassius auratus (goldfish) is the source of this 1121-nucleotide long non-coding RNA. RefSeq lists it as uncharacterized. The transcript has 3 exons. Lineage: Eukaryota; Metazoa; Chordata; Actinopteri; Cypriniformes; Cyprinidae. The record is from RefSeq and is a predicted model, not a curated record.
UGGAUGGGUGCCGUCAGAAUGAGAGUCCAGACAGAUGGAGCGUGUCAGGCUGUGGAUGAUCUGCUCGUGAGUGUUGAUGUUCAUGUUCACCGUUUCGUGAGGACACUCCUGUUGUGACGUCUCUCUGGUGGACAGCAGAAGUGUCUCUGUCCUCCGGCACCUGCUCAGAAUUCAGCAGCCCAUGGUGAAUCCUUCAUCUCUUCUCCCCAGUGCAGGGCUGAAGGAAUGAAGGAGCUGCAGCUCCCUGAUGACCCUCAGGUACAGACGCUUCUCUCAUCACACAUCUCAUCGUCUUUAUCAACAUCUACACAAAUGAUCAACACCGGGUGUUUUGUUAAAAUAGUUUUAUUGUAAACCAAAGAGUCAUUCAUUUGAAUAAAUGUAGCUUUAAUACAGAUGCUGCAUUUACUGCAUCUGACAGAUUUUCUCAUUGACACCCUGAAGCCUGAAAAAAAAUAAAUGCAAUUUCCCACUUUAGUUCUGCCUUUUAACGUGAUCCUUAUGGCCUGAUGGUUUAAUACACAACUGCCAUCAUCUUUUGCCGCAGAAGAGCAAUUGUGAGUAAAUAUUCUGGUGUCUUUUUUUAGGAAUGAAAUGUGUAUAAAGAAACGAUUUUCUUCUAAACAUGAACCGUACACAGUAGGCACAGGAAUAAGCCCACAUCUGCUGUGCAAGGCACUGAGAGCACAGCAGUAUGUUGUAGUGCUGCCUACAGCAUCAAGCCACUGCUACGAUAAGAACCCAGGCCGAAGCUACGCUAACAUGCUGCCCCAUCAUCUGAUUACAUCACUGCUGGACCACAUCAAUCAUAUUUUCUACAUAAAGUGCUCAAGAUUUGUAAAAUAGGGCAGCAGCUCCAAUGACAUCUUUCUUCAUUUCUAAACGCAUCAUAUCAAGUGUUGAAUGGAAGAAGUGUAAAGCAGAUGUAAACAGACCGCUGUGGUCUGUCCUCAUGAUUCAACACUCAGAGACCGUCCUGGAUGACGAGGCCUUCUCCAAACACACCAUUCAACAUUUGCUCUGUAAUGUACGGCUACACAAACCCACAAGGAUCCUUGUGUUCGCGUGAGUCAAUAUUUAAGAACACUUAUACAAAUAACAUUGGCAAUCUAAACAAAAAA